RNAcentral lists this ribosomal RNA (115 nucleotides) under Rhizoctonia solani. RNAcentral's name for it is "partial 5.8S ribosomal RNA". It matches the Rfam family "5.8S ribosomal RNA", at positions 26 to 139 of the family's 154-position model. From Rfam's summary of the family: 5.8S ribosomal RNA (5.8S rRNA) is a component of the large subunit of the eukaryotic ribosome. It is transcribed by RNA polymerase I as part of the 45S precursor that also contains 18S and 28S rRNA. Functionally, it is thought that 5.8S rRNA may be involved in ribosome translocation. Lineage: Eukaryota; Fungi; Basidiomycota; Agaricomycetes; Cantharellales; Ceratobasidiaceae. The record is from RNAcentral.
UCUCGCAUCGAUAGAAGAACGCAGCGAAAUGCGAUAAGUAAUGUGAAUUGCAGAAUUCAGUGAAUCAUCGAAUCUUUGAACGCACCUUGCGCUCCUUGGUAUUCCUUGGAGCAUG